AAUACCAUUGUGUACAAUUGCCUACAGUAUUCAGUACAGUAACCUGCUUACAGGUCUGUAGCCUGGGAGCCAUAGGCCAUACCACGUAGCCCAGGAGUGUAGUGGGCUAUACCACCCAGGUUUGCGUAAGCGCACUCUCCUGUUCGCACAAUGAUGAAAUCGCCUAAGGACAUGUUUCUCAGAAGGUAUCUCCGGCGUUGAGCAGCACAUGACUAUAGUAUUGUCUUUUUUCUUCUCUUUUGGAAACCAACUAGAGCUGUCUACCAAUUUUGUGGCUGCCUCAGCACCCAGAAAUCAGAUUCAGGCCUACUAUUGGAUAUUCAGGGAAUCUCUGCCGGAAACUAUGGAAAAUAUACAUAUUCAAUCCCCACUCUAGUAAACAGCUCAACUCCCAGCAUUGAGGCUCUACUUGUCCCUCCGGUUUACCAAUCACAUAGCUUUCUAGUAGCCUGAGAUAAUGGUAGCAAAUAGGUCUCUUUUACAGGUGAGGUCAACCCAUCCAAACCUCUAAUUUCAAGAAGUAAAUCAGGCUUCAGUCUUAUAUCCCUUAGCCUUACAUCAGGCAAUUUUACUUCCCGUUACCCCACAGGCAUCAACAUCUCCAGUGUCCUCCGCCAGUUUCCAGACCUCUAGCCCCCAAGGUCCCCAGGCCAGUGUCUCUCAAUUUCAGCCCGCCUUUUCACUAUAUAAUCUAUAUUCUUCUUCUUGUCCAUGAAAAUGUCUAUUUUAUUUUUAUUUUAAAUGGCAUCUAUGUUUUUAAAAAAUUUUUUCUCUUUUAGUAAUCUAUUAUUUUUAUACGUUUGGGACAUUUGGAGUGUCUAAAAUUGUGACUUUACAAAGUCAUCUCCACUGGAAGUAUGAAUUUUAUCUUUAAUGCUCUGUCUUAAUUCAUUAAGUAACACUAAAGAUAGUACAAGUAAAUCUUAAAGCAAAAGAUAAAAGAUGAAGGUCAUGCAAGCAGCAGAAAGCCCCACAUCUCACCUAUUUUUGUUCCAUUUCUGCUCUUUCUCUUGUAACAGCUGAAGUAGAAAGAAUUGCAUAGCAUUCUUUUCGUUAAUUGUAGAAUUACAUAAUUUGCAUGUCCUUCUACAUGCCUAGGAGAGUCCAAUGACAUAAUGAGUCCACAUCCACCCGGCUCUCCCUCAGGGAAACAUUCACUUUGGUGCUAAGUACUUUGUUACAUUGCAAAUGCUGUUAAUCCUUAUACUGUAUUUAGAGAUUUUCCAUUUCUAAGUCUUUCCUGUUACAAAUGAUAUAAAUGGAGUAAUGAAAAUGGCAGAGACUAAGUUCUUUAGGUACUGACAGAUGAAUUUUCUCAAUGUCAGACAUGCCGAAUAUUCAGAUUUCUUCUCUUUUUCUUCUAAACUCAAUGGAAAGCUAGUAGUAUACAUUUUUCGCUCAGUAUGAAAAUGAGUUUCCAUUUUUUUUCUAUUUUUUCAAGCAAUAUACGAAUGAGAUUUUUAAAAAUCAAAUAGUAAAAAAGCUUAUAGAAUGAGAAGAAGUUUCUCUCCCAGAUUUUUUUCAGUAUCAACAUAUAUAGAUUAACCUUUCUAAUAGCUGCAGAGCAUUCUGUUUUAAGGGUGUACUGUAAUUUAUUUAAUCUGUCUCUUAUUUAUAGGAAUUUAGGUUAUUUCUAGACUUUCGCUAUUACAAACCAUUAAGCCAUGAAUAUCCUUGUAGAUACAGUUUUGCUCACAUAUGCAAAUUUAUUGAAAAACGCUGAGCCAAACUGUCCUCUGUUGAGAUUAACAUUGAAAUAAAUCUUUAAAAACAAAUGCAUUAUUCUCCUAAACUGACAACACUCAAAAUACAGCACUGUUGCUUAAAUCUACAAACAAUUCUAUAUCUUUCAAGUUUGUAGCCCACCAUAUGUUUGCACGUGGGCAAUUUGUAAUUGAUAGUUAAGUACUUUGCAAACAACUUAUUUUAUUUAGAAAAAUAAAAUAUUGGCCAAACAUACACCUCUUAAUUAUAGACUUUUGGGAAAUGAUUAGAAUUAGGAUUCAUCCUAAAAAUAUAUUUGCCCCAGAGUUUUGGUACUUGGCCAAUCCCUGGCCUCAUUGUCCAUUUUUAUGUUUAUAUAUUUUAGAACUUCCAAUAUAUUCCGCAGACUAAGAGAGUUACUUGAUGACAAUGUUUUUCCCUUUUGAGAAGGCUCAGACUGGUUGUCUUACCCACAACCCUCUUCGAGGGAUCCCUUCCCCACAUAAUCCCUCUCCUCCUGGCCUCAGCUGUUUUCAUGGAGGAUGGGCACUGAUCUCCAGCCUGCGUGAGGUGAGCCAAUGGCCUUUGAAGACUCCUGAAUCAGCACCUCCACCAACAGCAGUGUCCCUGAUCAGGUCCUCACUCAGGAAGCCCAAAUGCAGGACUCUCAAAAAGGGAGUCAUUAAAAGUGUCAGGAUCUCUGAAACAAAGAGGGUAGAUAAGUCUCCACGCCCCUGGAGGUGGGAGAACAGAUGCCUUCUGCUAAGGGAGAGUCUCAGGUCAUGAGGCUGCUGGGGCUAUGACCACUUCUGAAGAACGUUUCUGUCCCUGUGGCCUGGCUGAGCAGCUAAGGCUGUGUCCUAUUCUUCCUUAAUGCUCUCGGUAAACAAAGUAACUUAAGCAUAACAUGUUCCUUGCAACCUGAAAGGAGCUGACUCAAUAUUCUUAGCAGAUAGUUAAAGAAGAACACAUUUCAUCAUUCAACAAAUGGCAAUGGAGUGCCUGGGAUGUGCAAGGUGUUGGGGACCCAUCAGCCCCUGUCGUGUAGUGGGUAAGUGCCCACGUUCUGCUUGGGCGGCCAGGGCUGAUCAAGAUAGAUAAGGUCUCUAUUAUCACGGAACUUACAGUCUUGUGAAGGAGGGCAGGAAACAAAAGGGUAAGAAAGAUAGCAGAUAGUGCUGAGUGUUAUGCAAAGAAGUAGAAAGUGGUGAUAGGACAGUAACUGGGUAACUACUUGGGACUGGGGAAUCAGGUAAAUCUCUGUGAAGAGUCCCCACCUAAGCUGAGACUAAAAUGACAAGAGCAAUCCAUUUGAGAACUAAGGGGAGAAAGACCAACUAAGAGAAAAGCCCUAAGGCAGUAAUGUGUGUAUCAGAGAAACAGAAUGACAGCGUGGUAAGGGAGAAGCUUCUAUGACAGGAGGCUCGAGAGGCAGGCUGGGACUAGGUCAUGUAGGGCUUCUCAUGCCCCAGUAAGGAUAUUCUAACUUGUUGAGAAGCUGUGGGAAGAUUAUCAGCAGGGGCUGAUACGGUGUGGUUGGCGUUUUUAAAUCUCUCUCCCGAGUGCAUCGGUAAGGGGCAGGGGCUGGUGACAGUGAAAGCAGGUAGACCAGUUAUGAAGCUACCACAGCAGUCCAGUGCAGAGUGAUGGCAUCUUAGGGUAGAGUGGGUGCCGUGUAGGUAGGGAAACAUUUGGAAUCUAGGAUAUGCUUCCCAGGGAGAAUCCUUAAGACCUACAGUAUUCAGUACAGUAACCUGCCUACAAGUCUAUAGCCUAGGAGCAAUAGGCCAUACCGCAUAGCCUCGGAGUGUAGUGGGCUACACCAUCCAAGUUUGUGUAAGUGCACUCUGCUGUUCGCACAAUGACGAAAUCGCCUAAGGACACAUUUCUCAGAAGGUAUCUCCGUCGUUGGUGGAUUAUUUAAGGGAGGAUGAGUCAUGAAUGAAAAGAAGUUGAGGGGAAAUGCACAUUAAACUCUAAAUAUUCCCAGACACUUUAAACUGAAGAAUGUCACUUUCCUUUUCACUGAAUCACUAGGUCCCAUUGAGAAACAGGUAGAAAAUGCGCUGCACCCGCUAUCGCACAGUAUUCUCCCAGGCUUGGCUUUCCGAAUCACCAAGGAAAGGUUCGAUUGUGUUGAGUGUGCUUUAGUUUAUGAAGCACUUUAUUAUAUGCCAGGUAUCUGGAAAUUUCUUUUCCACAUACCUUAAAUAUCCCAUCCUUCCAAUAGGGUAGAAGUGAGAGUGGUGAAGACAGAGUUGGUUCCUGAAAGUCUAAGAGAAAUCCAGAGGCAUUUUCAUAAUUAAGAUAACAGGAGUUCCUGGAACAGCCUCUACUUUCCCACAUUGUAAUUAAUUGUGUGUAACUUGAUUGUGUGUGGCCUCUUCUCCCAUGCCCUGUGAGAAGUAUGUGAAGACAGGCCUAAGUGCAUUUUGUUUACCACAUUUAUAUGUAUUUGGUGGCGCUAAAUGAGUGAGCCAAUCAAUGAAUAAAUGAACGAAUCUUCAAGAUCUGGCACCUGGUUGGCUUUUCCUUUGAACAGCAUAGGUUCUCUAACCUCAACCUGUCUUCCUGGUUAGUCUAAGACUGGCUUUUUGCCCUGAAUUUCUUUUUUAGGACAUUGGUUCUUCAUCUGGGUUUCUGCAUAUUUCGUCCCUAAUCUGAGCCUCCCCUUUAUUUAGUUACUCUACUUUUUUCUGCCUACACAGCAUGUUUGUGAAAAUUAUAUGUUAAGAUAGGAGAAGGUUUGCUCUCAGCAAGUUUUCAGGGUAGACACUCUAGACUCUAUUGUCGCUAGUAUAAUGGGAUGGGGCAAUGCACCACUCCGCCCGUGAGGCUGUGCAAGGCUCCACAAAGUCUCCUUUCAGUUUCAAAGUUGAUCUGAAGCCAUUACAUUCUGUCUAUUUGGGGACAUAGAUAUCAUGUUUAAAAAUGCUUUUUGCAGAGCAAUUCAGAGAAGAGUACAAUGUAUCAUUUAAGUACUAAAUAUUGACUAUUUCUACAAUGAAAAAGUACAGAGAGUUCCAUUUAUGUUUAUCCUUUUAUUGCAAAUUGCCACAACCUGGUCAAAAAAAUUCUUUCUGUGGUAGCAGGACAUCCGCCAGCAAAUGAGUUUGUUGAAAGGGCCACUGGUACCAAAUUCAGCACCGUGGGCCAACCCUGACCACAGCAGAGUGGUGUGAAGAGGUCUGACAGCCGCGUGGUCACCACCCAGGCUGGAGAGGAAGGCAGCAUGAGGUGUUAAUGGAAAAAUCCAACUUCCUUCUCUUCCAAAGAUGAUGAGCAAAACCAAAAUGGAGAUUUCCCUGAAUUAAUCCUCUUCCUUCUCAACUGCCUGCCAUUUACAUCAAGGAUGAAGUCGGGAGCUGGGGACACAAGGUAAAACAUGAGACCUUAAAGAUUAGCACUUGCUUUGAACAACGGCACGCUACAACGCUGGAAGCUGCAACUCCCGGUGCCCCACCACAACUGCCACUGCCACCACCAGCAGGGUUUGAAUUCUCUCUUCUGUCCCCGGAAGGACUUCAAAGCAAGCGUGAGAAGAUCUGGUUUCAUGAUCUAAGCAUAUUCUUUGGAACUUGAGUCCAAGCUCAUGUCUCACUGCUCCUAUGAACCUGCGAUCAGCCUCGUCUUGGGCAAGUUACUUAGCCUCUCUGGCCUGCCGGUCGUUUAUCUGUAAAAUAGGACUGACAAUGCCAGCUCCUACAGCUUCCUUCCUGUUGUUCCCCGAAAGCCGUCACCCUCCAGCAGAAGCAGCCCUCCUGGCAUCACAGAGAGGCUCCCACUUGGCACUGGAGUUUUUUGAACCUCUUGACAAGACUCCAUUAAUGAACUUGCUAGAGAACAGCUAGCGUGAGUUUCAGGCUCUGCCUCUGUUUCCUCCACUCACCUUUGUCCUUGCCUAGAUUGUCUCCCUGGAGAGCUGGCCAUCUUCCCACCUGUAAGACCCACAUUCUGGCUGUGCACUGCAAAGGGCAUGCUGGCCCCUCUUACAGCCAGCAGGAAUCCCAAAGCAAAAGGCAUCUUAGGUACCUGGGUAGGAACACAAGGACAACUAAGUUGCCAGAGGGUUGGGAUUUUUCUAGAAAGACGACUUUAUCAUCUUAGUGGUAAUUUGUAAAUGUGUACAAGUUGAGAGAAACAGGUAGAUCUUAGAAUCACCACCCUUAUUUGGGGCUAUUGCGAAUCAUUUUCUGAUUCAGGGUAGGGGGAUCUGUUGGUCAAUGUCAGGGAUGUAGAAAGGGGAUUUGCAAACAAGGAUCCAUACGUCGUCAGCAGGUGCCUCUAGUGGAAAUUUCAUCCAGACGCUGUGAGCUCUCCUUACACUAACAGAAGUGGCAAAGGAAACAAUGGGUCCAGGUGGACCCUAGGCUGUGCCCCUAUAUCACAGCUGGUAGUUCAUCUCUCUGAAUCCCAGGGGAUGACUGGUUAGAAUAGGGUUACAGGAUUGGUGAGUUUUAAAAAAAAACAAGAACAGAUUUUACUACGAUAAUGGAAUAUUAAAGGACACAGGUGAAUGGCAGGUGCUCUUGAGAGUCAUUAGACAGUAUUGUUACAUGUGAUACUCAGAGAAAGCAUUUCCUUUUUCUCAAGAAACAGCCAGCUACCCAGGUGGUGUCUGGGUAAGGUUUCUCAGCCAGCACCUUUUUGAGCUGAUGAGGAAGCCAGGAACAAUGUAGGUCAGUCUCUUUGUUUCUUCCAACAACCACUUAGCUCCUGGCCAGAUCUGACUACCUCCUCUUUGUGCUUUUCUCCGGAGCACAGAGUCAGCACCUUUUGGAUUCGGUUUCCAGACUAGAAGGAAGAGGUUCAGCCAGGCUGCCGUGUGGGCAACCUAGCCCCCUGCAGGCUCUGGUGACAGAGGCUUUUCCUUGCCUCUGUGAGGGUGAGGGCAGAGAGAGAAACUAUGUGCCUGGAAGGGUCUGAGGAACAGCUCCUCAGCCUCACUGGACACUGGACGGCACAACUCUCAACCACAGUCAGUUAAGUAAACUGGAUGCCCCUAUGUCUCUCUCAACAAAACCAGAAGUUAAUCAGAAAGCCGUGGUGCAAAGCUGGGAAUCAGGGAGCUAAUGAAAAUGAAACCCUGUCUCUCUCCAGGACAAGGCUGCUGGUUGCUUCAACCAGUUGUUGGUUUGAAGAACUCUUAGCAGUGGUAAAAAUCUAAUGUCCUUGAUGUACCAGCUGGAGUUGAUAGGCCUUUUAAAAUUCUCUUAUCAUGUGGAUUUUGACUUUUUCAGCACAUUAUAAACCCAGUAGGACAAACCGUUAAAAAAAAACUCUCCACAAAUCCAUUAACCCUGGGAAACAAAGGAGAGAAUCUACUGUCAGCCAAACUGUUAAUGUGUGGUUGGUGCUGCAGAGUCCUCUUCCCCCUGUUUGAUGAGCUAAGCCUUCAGGACAGCCCUGUGGAAGGGGCAGACGCCACAGUGGUCAUUAUCUUUAUUUUAUCCAUCCAAUGUCCAGAGGGGAAGCAGCAUGCUUGAGUUCCCAGAGCCUCUACUUGGACUUGGGACAGGAACCCUUAGUCCUGUGAGUGAGAGGGUCAACUUAUCCUUCUAAGCUUUUAUCUCUAAGCCAGUCAUUCACCCCUUGAAGUGGGUUCUUCUCUUAACUGUAUCUGCCUCCACUAACCAUCUCUAAUUUACACAUAUGUUUAUAAAAUCCUACUUUAGAAGAGAUGAGAGGCAAGAGGAGAACUUAAGAGAAAAUAUUUAUAUCAUAAGUCAUUAUGUCCUCACCAGAUGGAAGGAAAAUAAAAAACAUUGAGAAGUUCUUUUUUUCAGAUGAGUUGAAAGAAUGUCCCUGUGUGGCUUGAAUAGCAAGAAAAGGAAAAUAUUCCUCUUUCAAUGGGUACUUCCUCUACUUUAGGUUGGCAAGAAAUGCUUCAAUAACAGGUUGUCCAGAAUGUUACUUCAAAGACCUGGAGUUGGCACAUUGGGUGCUCUUGCCACAAACUGUAUCCAAAAAUGAUUUAACUUCCCCAGUCAGUGAUGUGUGCAAAUGGCACACACAGCACUAACCACACAUGCACGCAAUGUAUGAAUUCCCACAUUCCUGACUUCUCAUUCCAGCCAGAGAACAUUUUUUUCAGAGCUAAAAAGAAAUGAAUCAAGUUUGUAAAAGGAUAUGUGUGAAAAUGCCAGAGGAAAAAUGAAAAUCAGAUGCUUUUAAAGGCAGGGCCUGAAUUGCUUAGCUGAGAUGUCCUGCCACCUUCCAUGCUGUCGCUCAUUAGAGGUGACCAGGGAAACAGCCAUUGAGUCCUGUAGACUUAGGGGGUCUAAGGUGGGGCAGGAGAAAUAGAGUCAUUGGUAGUUCUUUAGAAUAAUUAUGAAAUAGCUAAAUCUUGAAGGAAAGGCAUUUCAGGCUGGUUCUUAUGGGCACAGCAUCUGUGCAGCACAAAAUGUUUUCGUGUCUCAUUGUUGCUGUACUUUCAGCUCGUAGAAUUCUUGAGAAAGAAAGAAGCCAUUCCCACCACAAUGACUCCCCUGUUAGCACGAUGGGCCCAGGCAGAAAAGUUAUAUUUUUUGAGUCUAGUGUGUUAAUAGACUCACAAAAAGAUUUACUGGGGACAUGGAGUGGUGGGAAAGUAAUAUUUUGCACCACAGUUUUUAUUUUGAUAAUUCCCUGAUGUGAAUUCCUGUGUUCUGAGCCAGCUUCUCAUUAACAGAAUUAACACAUUCUCUGCUGUUCCUGUCACAGCACAAUAUUGAUCACAAUGCAGAGGAAAUUCAGCUGCCUUCUCUGGAAAUUGCUACACAUGGGACAAAGUGGAUUUAUUGACAAGAUAACUGCUAGCCUUGGGAAUAUUCUGUCAAUGGUGACCUGGCAUGUUAUUACAUAUGCCGCCACUGCUUAUGAGCCGCCAUAUUGGAUGAAAUUUAGCAAAUCUGUUUUUGACCAGUGGGAUAUGAAAAACCUAGACCAAGCAUUCAUCAGAAGCAUAAUUUAUGAAUGUCCUAUACACUAUAGGAUCUUUAUGCUUUUCUCUAAAUCUUGAUUUCAAUGCUGAAUAUUUAACUAGGAGCAUGUAUAUACCAUGUGGGCUGUCAUUUUUCAUUUGAAUAAGGCAUUGUGAUUAUUCAAGGGAAAGACAGACAUUUGAAUAGUACCAUGGAAUAGGAAAUGUGAUGAGUAGCUAGAGAAAUAUGUUAGCCAUAUAGGCACACAACACUCCCAAUUUUUUCUAAGGAAUGGCAGUGUUGACAAGUUUUAAGCCAUGGUCCUUCAAUGUCGCGUGUGAAAAUACUCUAUGCUUGACAGAAAAUAAUUAAAACAGAAAUCAUUUCUUAGAUAAAUAUGGGCACACAGAAAUUGGAAAGAACUGAUACCAUCCAAAAGACUCCAACUCUUCUUUCCUAGUGUCCCCAGAAUCAUAAUACCAAAUCUUGACGAGUCUAGUUCUGGUCAAUAAAAUACUCUUGUAGUGUGGCUUCUGAGAGAAAUAUUGGGUUUGCAGUACUUCCUCUCUUUAAGUUAUUUCAAAUUACUCUCGGAACUGCCUUUACCCACCAGUAUUCUUAAGAAUACUGAGGGAGUCCUAAAAGAACAUUAUUCUUCCUGCUUUUUAAGCAAUUCCUCUUCAUAACAUCUGGCAUUAGCGAUCAGAGUGUAGCUCACUCUGAAGAGUGAGAUUAGAAACAGUAUUAGCAGACAACUGAGAAGAAACAUCAAUCAUCAAUAUUGGGUCAAACACUAAAGUUUGGUUAAAGAAAGAAAUAUUAACCGUCAAAAUUUUUGAGUAAUGCCUAACUCUUUGUCAUUGUGUUUGAGCUUAGAGAACUCACAAGAGGUUCGCUGUGGUCUUGAGAGAGUUGCUUUAUUGUCUUGGUUUUACAGAUGAGAGCUCAACUUUGGAAGUAAAGUGGCUUCCUGCAGGAGUUGUAGAGGAGAGCUGGUCUCACGUACAGAUGCAUUUCUUAAUAGAGUCUUAACUUUCUGCUGCUAUUUCUAUCCUUUUCUGAAAUCUGUCCUGAGUUUUCUUGGACAUGACCCCUUUUACUAUCUAGGAAAUUCUGAUCGCUUGAGUAGAGAAGGGAAGACAGGAUGUCCUAUAUAUAUUUUUCUAUAGAAUUUAGGUACACCAGUAUGCAAAAUGUACACAUUAUCUGCAAAUGAGCAGAACUAAAAGUGCUUUACAAUGCUCAUGAUAUAAGGUAUUAUAAUCACCACAUGACUCCAUUUGCAAGAUGCCAUCAAAGUACAUCACUGAUUAAAUAACUUUGCAGCGAGAAAAGAAAUUCUACAUUAAAUGCACACAUCAAUUCUAAGAUGCAUUCCAUUGUACAAAAUUUGAAAAUAUAAAGCUUGUAUAUGAAGGAAUAAAGCAAAUAAGAGUUUACCAUACUUCUUCCCUACUAAAACAUGUAUUCUUUUCACUAUAUUCAAGUUUCAGCAGUCUAUAAUCUACAGCAGACAAUCUAUAAUCUCUGUAACUAACACUGCAUUUCUGAAAAAUACUUUUGAAUACUAGGAAUGAAAUACAAAAUUAAGAAGAAAGUAAAAAUGCUUCAACUGACAUAACUAAUCAGUAACAGCAACAAAAAAGAAUUCACUAGUGCCAUGACUCUUAUCACAAGAAAUAAAGAAAUGCACUAGUUAAUGAUCAAAAGGAAUGGAAUUGAGAGACAAUAGCUGAUAGUCUCUGAGUCACUUUCUCCGCUGGCCCGUUAUUUUUAGUUAAAUCAUUUUGCAUAAGCAACAGGCUUUCUUGCUUAGUAAGCCCUUAAGAAUUUUAAGCGUUUGCCUAGAGUUGACAGAAGUCAUCAUCAGCCACCAGUGAUCAGUUCUGAUGGGUUCAUUUUAACCUUGAAAACACCAGGAGUUUAUUAAUAUAAAUUGUCAUGUCUUUGUAAAAUCACACCAGACUGGAAAAAGAAACCAAAAAUAAUAAAUAAAUAAAAUAAAAAUAGGCGAUAGGAAACAAGUAAGUUGCUGAACUGUUAGAGCAAUCUGGAGAUGAACUUGAGGAAGAACGCAGUGUACCCGUCACCUGAGAGGCCUCCCUGGCUUGGUAAUGAUAGAAGCAGGCCCACCGCAGCCUGAGGUCGGAAAAGCCCAUGCGCCCCCCAGCACCCUCUGGGAGCUCAAGCCGUCUGAAAUGACUGAUUCUCUGUUCUCUGUUGCGAUGAUAAUUCUGACUUCAGGAUUACGAACCUGGGGCCUUGGCUUCAUACUGGCCGUGUUUCCUGGAAGAAAAUGAAAGAGUCUCUUGCUUCUAGUUUGGAGCUUGACAGCACACCGAAAACUUUCAGAUAGUGUUCGCUAUUGAGGAAGACUUGUGGGAUAGACAGGGAGAGAAACGAAAAGAGAAAGGAAGGAGACAGCUUUGCACCAUCCUGAUGCAUAUCUGGCCUGUAACUCUAUGCCAGGGGCCCUCACACCAGAUGCUGAAAGGAUGUUCUCCUAAUGGGAGGACCCUGCCAUUGUCCUCAGCCUCUGUACCUGAAACUCCCAGGUACAAGCCAUGGAGCUGUCAGGUAGCAAGAGUGUCUUUUGGACAGCGGAAGGCACUAUGGAAACGGAGGUAACUUGGACCUGUCAACUCAAAUUACAGGGAGCGGAAACAAAAGUCACAUCGAAUGUUAUUGUUUCCUUGCCACAGCUGAGGACAACCAAACAUAGGGAAAGCUUGAAUUCUCACUAGUCAAAAAAGAAAAAGAAGGAAAAAUAUGAUCCCAUAAGAAUAAACCCGAUCUUCUCAUAGCAGAAAAUGGCGCUUUUUUUUUUUUUGGAAGGUUUUGAGCAAAAUCUGUUGAAGAGAGACCUUGAGCAUCUUUGUUAAAAGUUCUACUAGCUGUAGGAAUCUUAUUCAAGGUAGAUUGGUAGCUUUUGGCUUAAAAUGUUUGGAAAAGUCCAGGUUUUACCAGAGCUUCAGAGGAAAAGAAUGAUUUAAUGAUCAGCCAGAGAGGGGAAUGUAGAAGCUAGUUUUAUACUGAUUCAUCUAUUGCCCAUUGGGAACUUUGGACGAUUUUUAAAAUCUUCCCAGGCCUGUGUUUGUUCUUUCUUCCCCUGGCAAUAUACUUUCAGUGGCUUACGAAGGGGGAAAGCAGGAGGUGAGGGGUUAGGAGUCCUGAGGUUUCCCCGUUUCUGACACCACCUGCAGAUAAGGCAGUGACUGAUGCGUUCUAAGCCUCCAUGUCACCCAGUCAAAUGAGGGAUCUGAACGCACAGUGUUUAAGCAUCUUUGCUGUUCUACAGCCCUGAUUCUUUGAUUUAUUAUGCCUCACCUUAACUGCCUGCUUACGGACAUCAUCUCGAUCCUCUUUUGUGGAGACUAGUACAUUGAGAUUUCCUCUCCUCCUCCAGCAACAUCAUCCAAAUCCUCCUGCCUGUCUUCCCAGAGGGUAUUUCUUACACUUAAUAACUGUCACUGCUCUUUCCUGCACUUUUCCAGAGUUCCAGCUCAGGGGUAGACAGAAACAUUGAAGAGGGGCUUCAAAUGAAAACCUGACUGGUGCUGAGGCACGAGAAGCACCCAACGCAUCCAUCCUCACUAUGUUUGACAAAUUCAACCAUCUGACUCCAGGCGCAGCUCUCCGCGGAGGGAAGGGAGCCCUGGGCUGUGAGAAAGCACACGGGGCCCUCGCCUGAUUGGGCCGGUGGGUCACUGCCCUAGCUCCAGCCAUAUUCCCUGGUAUCAGCUCAAGCACCCUCCUCAGCUUAAGAAAAGGCUGGGAUCAGCUGGCUGAGUUCUCUGGCCACUCCCUGAUAAAGUCUUCAGAGAUGAUCACAGCUUUUAGGGCUGUGCUCGCUCCAAGCACUUCUGACUGCAUUUCCUAUUCAUGCAGUUUAUUUUAAUUUCUUCCUUAAAUACAUUACAAAGAAACCUCUCCUUUUGAAGUCCAUCCUAGGAGUACCCUGCUUUAUUUCAAAAUGGUUCACUUUGCGUUUCAAUCUUCUUCUCCAGAGAAGAGCUGCUAACAUCUAGUUUGGUUGUCAGGCUCCCUCUUCCAUCAGCAGGUCAUUAAUAAACAAGCUAAUAAGCAACACCAGGUAACACUGUACUUUGUAGAAUUCAAUAGGGACAGCCAGGUUCAUAUUGACCCAUUGAUAAGUGCGGAUUUGAUUCAUUUUGAGUAAAAAGAUUCUGAGGGGAAAAAUUAGUAUUAGUGAAUGGUGAGAACUGGCUGGACUGAAUCAGUGAAAAAUAUGAAUGAAGGUUUUCAACAUUGAUUUUCAUUUCCUAGAAGCGAUAAUAAGUGUUAAUAGUAUGAUUAUUGUUAGUAUUGAGUAUCUGCUCUCCAUCAGACACUGUCGUAAGUGGUUUUUAUAUAUAACAUCUCAUUUAAUUUAAUGAUAGCUAAGUUAGGACAGGUGGUUAAACAAGUUCCGAGACGUAGGACUCCCUAAGUCAAUUCUAAUAAAGAAAUGAAUGCUAUGGAGCCUCCUGGAAUACUUAGUCUUUGGCAGGGAUUAAAAUCCUACAUGCCUCCAGGAUCUGGCUGAUUCACUUACAUGAGUAAAGAGAGCUGAAUGUGAGACAAUAGGGCACGGAGGAGACUGUGGACAGCUGGAGAGUGCACACUCCAGUUGAUGUUGCCUUGCUGGAAUGUGAGUACGUUUUAUCUGAUCUCAUGCUGUUUUCUUCAGUAAAAUCCAGAAAUCUCAAUAUGUAUGUGACACUCUCUCCUGUUUAGAAAGCAAUGGGCAAGCCAAACAAGAUACAUCUAAGAGACAGCUGUGUCUUCCUCGUCUCCAGUUCAUGAUCUUUACUCCCUACUGUUUAUUCAUAUAUGUCAUAUACUACUAUCUUGUCUCAGGUAAUCUAGUAUGUAUACAGGAGUCCCAAGCUUUGGAAUGUCUGCCAUAUGAGCAUCCCUUCUUUACAAGCGACCACUCUGAAGGGCCACUCUGACUAGGGACUCAUUUUCCUUCUGUGUAACUCUUUACUUCUAUUGCCACCACAGGCUUCCCUCAUCAAGCAUUUCAGCUAUUCCAUCCUCUUUGAGAUGUUUUUCCUUCCCCUACAUUUUUCCCUAAUCGCCCCAUGACCCAUAAUGGCAGAGGGUCAACAGGCUGUCCUUAAAGCUACAGGUCUUUCAUCUCUGGAUGGCUUCCUGAAGCUGAAGACCUUAGCCAUCACUGCCAUUUGUCAAGGACUUGCUAAGCAGCCUGAUCUUCUCCUUUCUCACCUGAGGAGGAGAAGACUUCACUUUCUGAGCUUACUUGCAGAAGACUUGAACUCCCUCCAAAUCUUGCAAGAUCUCUACCUCGAUCCUUUCUCCUACUACUGAGGAUCCUCACUCAAGAACCAUGAACUCCCAAAAAGAAAAAAAAAAUUACUUGAAAAAAAAAAGAACCAUGAACUCCCAUUUCCUCCAGCUUGGGACUCUCAAUUUGGUUCCCUUUCCCACUGUUUGAGACAAGUCAAGGUGCGUUAUGGCCAGUGAAAAGGUAGUGAGGUAGAGAUGGGAGUGGUGUAGACUCAUGUCUCUGUAACUAAUUUCCAGUGCGAUAUUGUCCCAUAGCAACAAUAGUAAACUUUGAAGGUUGGCUCUGAAGUACCAUUAUGAACUUACUGUUUUGAAGCUGGCCGAGAGAGGAUUAGAUUUUUCACCCAAGUGCUCAUCAAAGGACAGAGGUUGUGUAAACUCAUUUUCCCAAACCUCUUUCCUCUGUGAACAUUCUUCUGAAGAUUUAUGACUUAUCUUAAACAUUCAUGAGUAUUUUGCAUUCUACUUCUUGCUAUAUUUAUUUAAGUUUGAAAAUCUCUUAGAUUAUUUAUACAAUCAUAGGACACAUAACAAUGUUUCAGUUGAUGACAGAUCCCAUAUGUGACAGUGGUCCCAAAAGAUUACCA
Equus caballus (horse) is the source of this 14506-nucleotide non-coding RNA. The record is from RefSeq and is a predicted model, not a curated record. Lineage: Eukaryota; Metazoa; Chordata; Mammalia; Perissodactyla; Equidae.